Molecule: ribosomal RNA, 1243 nt
Filed under: metagenome
Description: bacterial LSU rRNA
Rfam family: Bacterial large subunit ribosomal RNA
Source: RNAcentral
UGAAUACGAGACGCUAAGGCGUCGAAGUAGUGUAUGUCAUACUUCCAAGAAAAGCUUGCACUGUCAUAGAUAAAAAACGCCUGUACCAUAACCGACACAGGUGGGUAGGUAGAGUAUACUAAGGGGCGCGAGAUAACUCUCUCUAAGGAACUCGGCAAAAUAACUCCGUAACUUCGGGAGAAGGAGUGCCUUAUUCGUAAGGUUGCAAUAACAAGAUCCAAGCAACUGUUUAUCAAAAACACAGGUCUCCGCUAAGUCGUAAGACGAUGUAUGGGGGCUGACGCCUGCCCAGUGCCAGAAGGUUAAAGAAGUUGGUUAGCAAUUGCGAAGCUGAUAACUGAAGCCCUGGUGAACGGCGGCCGUAACAAUAACGGUCCUAAGGUAGCGAAAUUCCUUGUCGGGUAAGUUCCGACCCGCACGAAAGGCGUAAUGAUUUGGAUACUGUCUCGGAGAGGGGCUCGGUGAAAUAGACUUGUCUGUGAAGAUGCGGACUACCUGCACCAGGACAGAAAGACCCUAUGAAGCUUUACUGUAACUUGAAAUUGAAAUUGGACUUUAUUCGCGCAGUAUAGGUGGGAGGCGUUGAUUAUAAUCUUGUGGGAUUAUUGGAGCCAUCAGUGAGAUACCACUCUUGUAAUGUUAGAUUUCUAACUUUGAAUCAUUAUCUGGUCAAAGAACAGUUUCAGGCGGGCAGUUUGACUGGGGCGGUCGCCUCCUAAACGGUAACGGAGGCGUACAAAGGUUUCCUCUGAACGGUUAGAAAUCGUAUCUAGAGUGUAAAGGCAUAAGGAAGCUUGACUGUGAGACCUACAAGUCGAGCAGGGACGAAAGUCGGUCUUAGUGAUCUGACGGUACUGAGUGGAAAGGCCGUCACUCAACGGAUAAAAGUUACUCUAGGAUAACAGGCUGAUCUCCCCCAAGAGUUCACAUCGACGGGGAGGUUUGGCACCUCGAUGUCGGCUCAUCGCAUCCUGGGGCGGUAGUACGUCCCAAGGGUCGGCUGUUCGCCCAUGAAAGCGGUACGCGAGCUGGGUUCAGAACGUCGUGAGACAGUUCGGUCCAUAUCCGGUGUAGGCGUUAGAAUAUUGGGAGGAGCCUUCUUUAGUACGAGAGGACCGAGAAGGACAUACCUCUGGUGUACCAGUUAUCGUGCCAACGGUAAACGCUGGGUAGCUAUGUAUGGAGUGGAUAACCGCUGAAAGCAUCUAAGUGGGAAGCCCCCCUCAAGAUAAGUAUUCUCAUC